This 468-nucleotide ribosomal RNA is filed under the name uncultured bacterium. RNAcentral describes it as "partial 16S ribosomal RNA". It matches the Rfam family "Bacterial small subunit ribosomal RNA", at positions 28 to 507 of the family's 1533-position model. The record is from RNAcentral.
GACGAACGCUGGCGGCGUGCUUAACACAUGCAAGUCGAACGGAAAGGCCCUGCUUUUGUGGGGUGCUCGAGUGGCGAACGGGUGAGUAACACGUGAGUAACCUGCCCUUGACUUUGGGAUAACUUCAGGAAACUGGGGCUAAUACCGGAUAGGAGCUCCUGCUGCAUGGUGGGGGUUGGAAAGUUUCGGCGGUUGGGGAUGGACUCGCGGCUUAUCAGCUUGUUGGUGGGGUAGUGGCUUACCAAGGCUUUGACGGGUAGCCGGCCUGAGAGGGUGACCGGCCAAAUUGGGACUGAGAUACGGCCCAGACUCCUACGGGAGGCAGAAGGGGGGAAUAUUGCACAAUGGGCGGAAGCCUGAUGCAGCAACGCCGCGUGCGGGAUGACGGCCUUCGGGUUGUAAACCGCUUUCGCCUGUGACGAAGCGUGAGUGACGGUAAUGGGUAAAGAAGCACCGGCUAACUACGUG